RNAcentral lists this long non-coding RNA (408 nucleotides) under Gossypium raimondii (Peruvian cotton). RNAcentral describes it as "long non-coding RNA (GRAI_LNC005339)". The record is from RNAcentral. Lineage: Eukaryota; Viridiplantae; Streptophyta; Magnoliopsida; Malvales; Malvaceae.
UCUCGGCAUUUCGAACCACAAUCUCUUCUCUCGUAUAGAAAAGAUUAUAGAAGAGAUCAAUGUUUCCCCAGCUGAAGUUGCCGGUGAACUAAUGAAGUCCAAAGAUCCCAAAACUUGUCUGGAGGGCCUUAUUGAGCUCCUGGAAAGCAAGGUAAUUUAAUCUCCAACCAAUUCAUGUUGAUGUAUUAAACUGCCAGAAAAAGAGGGGUAGGGGCAAUGCAGGAAAAACAAGAAAGUAAAGCAUUGAAUCAUAGUUGUCAUUACAUCAUCGUUUGAUGUAAGGGCUUACACAUGAAAGUAGGUGAGCCCAUGUGUUAGUGUCAAAUAAAGCAGCAUGUCUGAAUGACAUCACCAGUUCACUGCCACCACCCAAACGGGUCCCUCCCCUUAUUUUAUUUUGCAGUGUCU